This 492-nucleotide ribosomal RNA is filed under the name uncultured bacterium. Its description in RNAcentral is "partial 16S ribosomal RNA". It matches the Rfam family "Bacterial small subunit ribosomal RNA", at positions 29 to 507 of the family's 1533-position model. The record is from RNAcentral.
AGUGAACGCUGGCGGUAGGCCUAACACAUGCAAGUCGAACGGCAGCACAGUAAGAGCUUGCUCUUACGGGUGGCGAGUGGCGGACGGGUGAGGAAUACAUCGGAAUCUACUUUUUCGUGGGGGAUAACGUAGGGAAACUUACGCUAAUACCGCAUACGACCUACGGGUGAAAGCAGGGGAUCUUCGGACCUUGCGCGAUUGAAUGAGCCGAUGUCGGAUUAGCUAGUUGGCGGGGUAAAGGCCCACCAAGGCGACGAUCCGUAGCUGGUCUGAGAGGAUGAUCAGCCACACUGGAAAUGAGACACGGUCCAGACUCCUACGGGAGGCAGAAGUGGGGAAUAUUGGACAAUGGGCGCAAGCCUGAUCCAGCCAUACCGCGUGGGUGAAGAAGGCCUUCGGGUUGUAAAGCCCUUUUGUUGGGAAAGAAAAGCAGCAGGUUAAUACCCCGCUGUUCUGACGGUACCCAAAGAAUAAGCACCGGCUAACUUCGUG